Molecule: non-coding RNA, 87 nt
Organism: Podarcis lilfordi (Lilford's wall lizard)
Lineage: Eukaryota; Metazoa; Chordata; Lepidosauria; Squamata; Lacertidae
Source: the annotation of a GenBank genome assembly
GGAGGGCGGGGUAUAAAUAAAAAUUAUUAUUAUUACUGUAUAUUAAUAAUAAUAAUAAUAAUAAAUUUUAUUUAUAUCCCGCCCUCC